Molecule: RNA transcript, 8441 nt
Organism: Stegostoma tigrinum
Lineage: Eukaryota; Metazoa; Chordata; Chondrichthyes; Orectolobiformes; Stegostomatidae
Gene: bcl2l16
Gene name: BCL2 like 16
Exons: 2
Source: RefSeq, a predicted model, not a curated record
CGCAUGCGCGGAAAAUGCGGCACCGUUCUCCGCCCGAAGGGUAUAGACCGCAGCAGAAACUGUGGAGGGGGGAGAUGUACGCAUGUGCAGAAAGUGACCGGGGUGUGUUUUCUGCGCAACUGCAAAGACUUGGUAUUUAGCUUACUCCAGUGACUGGAAGGAAAGUUCUCGAAAAGCUGCUGUCGGUGCAGGAGCACGAUGAAUAAAGAGGAACCUGAGAAAGCGCUAUUCCAGGAAUUUCCACUAUUUCAUUUAAAGAAUAGAUCUGUUUAACUUGUGUAUAAGUGCCUCCUUCGACUAAUACUAAAUUGGAUAUUAUGAACGAUUUGGGAAGAUUUUUAGAUGGCUUGAACGCCGAAAUGACCGAUAUGAGGAAAUACAACUGAAAAAACUUGUUACCAUUAACUUCCUUCUUAUCAGAAAGCUGCUGUGUUCGUUCAGAUUGGGGUUUUCUUACAGGAAUAUCGUCAUUCCACCAUUCUCAGCACUCUUUGUCCCUGUCUUUGUUCCCCUCCCCCUUUCCUUGUCCAUUUGGGCGCCAUUUUAAGGUGAUGGAAAAUUCUGGAGAGUCCGCCAUUUUGUGGCGAGCAGUGUUCUGCCUUAACAGGGAGUGCUGCGCAUAUACAGUGCUGGAAUACCAGGGAUGUAGUCUACUUUGUGGCUUAAAAAUAGUGGAAUAACAAGCAAUUAGCACCCCAUGCGAUCUAAAAACCUGUCUCUUGGAAGAUGCUAUUUCGUUUAACAAUAGCAUUAAAUAAAACUGGCUUUACGUGCAACCUAUACAGAUCAACUGAUAAUCGCUUAAAAUAAUAGGAUAUGUUAAAUUUAUAUCAGAUUGGAGAGAAGGAAACAAUUCUCUGGGGAAAGAGCAACAGUUUGGUUAGUGAUGCCACUGUACAGUAAGUGUUUCGGAAAGGAUAUGAAUAAUUUUUUUUAUUAAUUUUCACAUUUAAAGUUUCUACGUCACAUCUCAAACAACACCAACAUAGCCUGGAUCACAUUUCUCUUGUUCUAUUUGUAAAUUUAAAGAUUUAGUACACAAAGAAUGCCAGAAAUUUGUGUAAAAAUCUAAUGUUGGUACGGCCUUUUUUCUGGUGAGCAAUUUUGUUCUUGGAUAGGGGCCAUAGUUUUCUUAAGUGUUGACUGAAACUGCAAAUUAUGAUUCAAUCCAGUUGCUAUGUCAGUCUAAGAUGGUGAAUGUGAUGCAAUAACCAAAUUUUGGUGAUUGCAAAAGGUCUGGAAUUUCAGCAGAACAAAAUUUGUAAGGUUUUAUUUUGCAUAUAAAAUGUAUUUGGUGUCCUGAAAAUUAGCAUAUCAUAAAAAAACUUAAUGUAUUGUUUAUCAAAAUUUUUAGUUUUAUCUGUUAAGGAUUUAUUAAUAGAGAAUUAAACCCUUUCAAAGGGUGUGACUUCUAGGACCCAACACCCUUGGUGCAGGGUAUCCAUAUCGAAAAGAUAGAUUUAAAAAAUGAUACUGUAGCUUGGCUUCUAUAUUUCUGUAAUUGUUUUGCGUAAUGAAAAUGGCGCACUCGUGAUGUGGAUAUAUUUCCCAAGCUCGCUCUUUGUCACUUGGUAUCCACCCAAUGUGUUUAUUCAGCGAUAUUUUUUAAAUGUAAUGGCUGCACUACGCAUGUUGGAAUCUCCACCGCAAUCUACAUGGAAUGCAACUGGGGGAUACAAAUGUUGAAAUGUCUUGGACUGACCACAUGUCUUGACCACAUCUGUGCUAAGUUGACUGUUUGAAUAGCAAUUUGAAGUAAGUUAACAUUUGAAACAGUUGAGCUGGGGAGGGAAAAUGUUUUAAUACAUUAGGUUCAUGUAAAGUAUGGUCAUGUGAAAUAGGCAUGGAAGAAUGGGAAUUGCGUGGGGAAAUUUUGGGUAUUUAAAAAUAGGCCAAAAUGCACUGUUGUAAAGUUGGUGGGUUUUAAGGGUUUUUAUCCAUCUGUUAGAAUAUCAGUUCCUGUUGGAAAUACCAUUAUCCAUCUGUACUAAUAUAUUGAAUGCAGUACUGACCUAGGUGGCCACUUUCAUUUGUCUGGCACUGAAGCUUCAGCUGAAUUGAAUUUUCAAAGAUGUGACCAAAAGGUUUGCAAUUGGUUUCAGACUGUUGAGUAAAAUUUUCAUUAUUGUGUUAAUUUCAAUUUAAAAUAGAUAUUUACUACAGAAGGAAUCCUCCUUUUCUUUUUAUAUUACAUAUGAUUGUGUUGGGUUGGAUUUUUCAUUGUAUGCUGUGUUGAUUUUUAGUUUUUAAAAAAUGCUUUGACACUUGCUUUCUACCAUUUUACUUGCUGUUCAAACCUCCUUGAGGUGGGCCCUGACUGGUCUCGCUCUGGCAUGCACUCGCUUGGCUGCAGACACAGAUUUGAUGGAGCAAGCCAGUCACAGUUUUAUUGCUAGCGUCAAAGUUUUCUUUCUAACGCCAUCCUUCAAAAAAUAUUGCACCCCGGGUAUAUUUACACCAAAUAGAGCAGUGGCUCGACUCCUCACUGCUACCUUCUGAUUAGGAGAAGUAAUAAAUAGUGGCCCAGUGAGGUAAUGCUCUAGAACAUGUAACAAGUUGUGCUGACUUUAUUUUCCCCCACCAGUCUACGGAGCACUGAAACUAAUUGUGGCAAAUUAAAUAACUAACUCAACCAAAUUUUGAUAGUUUAUCUUGGCACUUUAUUAUAGUUUUCUUUUAAGAAGACUAAAAAAAUUGAUACUGCUUGUAUAUUUUGACACACAUGCACAAUAGGAAGCAGUUACUAAACUUCAUUUGAGGGCUCAUAACCUUUUACUACAGUUAACAAUAGUAUAAAUUAUAACUUAGGACCUGAAUGCUAUAUACUAAAACUUAUUUUGUAUAGGGAGAAGGCCAUAUGAAUAAAGUCAAAAGGCUUUAAAUAUUGGUGUGGAUAAUAGGUAGGUAAGCCAGCAACUAAGAAUAUGUUGAACAUACUUUAUGUAUGUAAUAAAGUGAAAACAGGCACUAGAGAUUAGUAGUCAUUUUCCUGCCUAUUGCCCUCUGCUCAUAUUCCAGUUUUCCAUGUGUAGAAAAUAUGUGCAAGAUACUAAAUGGCCUCGCCCCGUAUGAUCACCAGCAACUAUAAAUGUGAAGCAGCUAGAAGCAAAGAUUGCUGGAGAGCGUUCAGGACUAGUGCCUAAUUGUACUUCUCUUUGUCCCAGGUAAAAUAUACUAUGACCACUUCACUUCUAAUUAGAGUCAGAAAGCUGGACAGCACAGAAUCAUAUCUUUCAGUCCUACUUAUCUUGACCAACUAGCUAUCUUUUACAAACUUAGUCCCAUUUGGCCCAUGUACCUUUUUAGUUGUUCCUAUUCAUAUACCCAUUCAGAUGCCUUGUUAAAAUAUUGUAGUUAUACCAGCCUCCUCCACUUCCUGUGGUGGCUCAUUCUAUACCCACCACCCUCUGCAAUGAAAAAGGCCCUUAGAUCCUUUUAUUAAAAUCUUUCCCCUGUCUCCUUUAAAGCUGUUCCCUGUAGUUUGGCACUCCCUACUCUAGGGAACAGACGAUGCCUACUUCAUGCAUGCCCCUUGUGAUUUUAUUAACCUCUAUAAAGGUCACCCUCAGCCUAUGAUGUUCCAUGGAAAACAGACCCAGCCCAUUCAGUAUCUCCCUCUAGCUCAACCCUGACAACAUCUUCAAAUCUUUUCUGAGCCCUGUCUAGUUCCACAACAUGCUUUUUAUAGCAGGGAGACCAGAAUUGUAUAUAAUACUACAAAAGUGAUCUAACCAAUCUCCUGUGCAACCACGACAUGACCUCCCUACUCAUGUACUGAGUAAUAAAGAGAAGCACACCAAGUGCUGCCUUCACUGCUCUACCUACUUGCAGAUCCCACUUUCAAGGAUCUAUGAACUUGCACUCCAAGGUCUCUGUUCAGCAAAACUUUCCAAGGACUUUACCAUGAAGUGUAUAAGUCCUGUCCUGAUUUACCUUUCCAAAAUGCAGCACCUCACACCUAAAUUAAACUCAGUCUGGCACUCCUCAUCCCAUUGGCCCACGUGAUCAAGAUCCAGUUGUAAUCUGAGGUAACCCUCAAUGUCCACUAUACUCCCAGUUUUAAUGUCUGCAAGCCUAUUAAUCAUACCUCCUGUGUUCAUAUCCAAAUAAUUUACAUAAAUGACAAAAAGCAGUGAAACCAACACCAAUCCCUGUGGCACACGGUUGGUCACAGGCCUCUGGUCUGAAAAGCGACCCUCUACCACCACCAUCUGUCUUCUACUUUUGAGCCAGUUCUGUGUCCAAAUAGCUAGUUCUCUCUAUAUUCUGUGUUAUCUAACCUUGCUAACCAGUCUACCAUAAGGAACAUUGUUGAAUGCUUUACUGAAGUCCCUAUACGUCACAGCCAUCACUGUGCCCACGUUAUUUCUCUUCAAUACUUAAAAAAACCUCAAUCAAAUUAAUGAGACACUAUUUCUCUUGAACAAAGCUAUGUUGACCACCCCUAAUCAGUCCUUGCCUUUCCAAAAACAUGUAAAUACAGUCCUUCAGAAUUCUCUCCAACAACUUGACCACCACCAAUGUCAGGCUCAUCGGUCUACAGUUCUCUGGCUUUUCCUUACCCUCUUUUAAAUAGUGGCACAAGUUUAGCCAACCUCCAUCAUUUGGCACUUCAACUGUGGCUAUAAAAUGAUGCAAAUAGUUGAGACCUCAUUUCAUUUUGCACUUUUCACUAGUCAGCACAACGUGCUAACUUGUAGGCAGGUAACGUCCAAGAAGUCAACAGUGAAAAAGACUGAUUAUCAAUCAAACCAUCACAAUUUUGGAUAAUGUCAUGCCCAAAGUCUGCUUCACAGCUGAUAUAGUUGGUCCUAACCUUAGAUUCAGGUGGAUGCCCUAGUUAUCUGCAAUUUAACAUCAGGUUGGGAUAGGAAAGCCCCUUGUUCAAUUUUAACUGUUUGCUUUCUCAGCUGGGAUCGAAAACUACUCACUUUGUAUUUCAGUUGUAUUUAGUUGUGUAGUAUUACUUUUCCUAGUUAUGGGUAACAUAAAAUCAGCCAAUCCAAUUGCUCCUAAUUUUCAUACAGAGUCAAGCUGGACAAUACAUGUUUAAGAUGUUGGACAGGGAAACUGCGAUUUGAAUAUAGUGUUAAAUUCAUUUUGAGAGCUGAGGGGCAAACGUUUGUGAUGUUUAACAUUUGAACAGUGAAAAAUAUGGUCAGUUGUUCAAGUCCAGGUGUAAUGUCAACAUUUCAAUACCAUUCACUAUUUCUGUGUAUACUGCUUGAGUUCAAGAUAAAUCAGACUGAUUAGGAUAGUUGUAGACUUGAUUUACUAGUCUGAGUUAACUGAAUUAAAGUGUGGUGAUGCUGAGAAUGUCUGUGCUAAAGUUUUAUUGAAAUUUGAAUGUCUAUAGGGGAUAGUUCAUUUUCAUCAAUCCUCAGAUUUGUCUGGGCAACAGUAAGCACUGCAGUAACAUUCUAUUCUAAAAAGUAUUAGCUAAAAUUAUGAAAUGACAGACAUAUUGAAAUUUAUUUAAUUAACAGAUGGAAUUUGUGUAAUAAAAAGUAAAAAUUGAAGUAGACCAGAAAAUGAUUGCUUCCUUUCAUUCAAACAGAAAUUCUGGCGGCAUCUGCAAAAACAAAUGUACAGUAACCCUUGAUGCAACCCUUUGCUUUCUGGAAAAUAAUAAAUGCUGUUAUAAUGGUUAAAAUUUAUUAAGUUCUUUCAAAUGUUGAAGGGAUUAUUUAAACCUUAAAACAUUCAUAAUUCAUUUUGAAGCCUUGGUAGUUGUUUCAUGUGCAGAAGUCCUCUAAUAAUGGAGCAUAAAUUGUUUCGUCCACCUUUGUUCAUGAUGCAAAUUCAGAAAUACUACUGGGGGAGGGGGAAAAAAAACUUCUAUAAUCAAGCUUUUGCAAUUCAUUCUGUCAGGUUUUUAGACAAUUCUUAACUGGACAGAUGUUAAUAGUCUUUCCUGAAGGUUCAAGCACGGUUGUCAGUCAAAUACAGUAUUAUGUUGAAAUAAAUCUUUGUACAACAGUAAGCAAACAUUUGUGCUAGAAUUCCAUAAAAGAAAAUAGUAUUCAUGAAAAUUGUAUUCAUAGCAUUGGCAAGGAUAAGAGUUUUGAAUAUUCGCAUCGUUAGACCAGUCUAAAAUGUUUUAACUACUAGCAUUUGGAACUUUGAGCACAAGUUAACUGUCGACUACGUUGUAUCAUGUAUUAUGUUAUAAAAGUGGAUUUAUAAUAUGCAGGAAGUAAAUCAGUUGUACUGUGGUGGUCCUUUGCAGUGCAUGUAUUGAUUAUCAUAAGUGUAGAUUAAUGAUAAAACUGCACAAUUUAGUUAUAUGUAUUGCAGUAUCAUUGCAAGACAGAGGAGCAUGUUUAACUGGUGUCAGGACGACCCUUCAGUUUUCUCAGUCACGGCCUUUUCUACCAAGGUGAUCAAUGCUUCCACAAUCCUCUGUACCCUUAAAGCAAUACCAAAGAUCAACAUUUAAAGCAGAUUUAAAUAGAUUAUCCCUUUUGAUAGAGCAAGGUGAGAUGGUGUCAUUUAAAACAAUCAAUAGGAGCAAAAUCACAGGCAGGUCUAUUGUUUCUCUUGCUGUGGAAGAACUUUUAAUUUCCUUUAUUUAAAAAAUGUUGAAGCAUAAGCAGUUCGUACAUAAUUAUGUUUCAAAAGAAGAGAAUGGGAAUUGGGAACAGUUCUUCAAUUUGUGAAAAGAACAAUUCCAGAAGUAGCAUAACAGAGUUAAAAAUACUAAAUUGAAUCCGUUUGCCAAUGGUGAUUUGCUACAAUUAAGAACACUUCAUCUUGAUGGUAGGCACCAGUUGUCUUCAGUACCUUGUCAAGUGACCGACCAUUCUUCAUCUGCAAGCCAAGAUGGUGAAUGUAGUAGGCUACAUCUUACAAGAAUUUAUUUCUAUGACUAUUUUCAAUAUAAAAAUCGCUAAGUAUAGUUCAGGAGUGGAAGUCUUUGUUAAUUUAUUUAGCUUUUAGCCUCGUUCAAGAGCUUUGAUCACAAUAAUAAAGCUGAUACCAGUUGAGAUCAUCACAUAGUAGGAACCAAACCUAAAAUAUCAGGUUUGCAUUGCUUAAGAUGAAUAGGCCUUGAGCAAACUUUAAAAAUAAAAUUACCCUCUCAAAAGGAUCGUUCAUAGAUGCUGUUGAAUGUAACUGAAAAUGGUCAACUGUACCAGGAUAAAUUUGAUUGAAGUUAUUCAGCAGUUCACAAAAUUGAAAUAAUCUCUGCUAAUAUUCAAGAGUCUUCAGGUAGAGCUGGUACUCUGCAUGUGGCAAGUCUUGCACAGUAUGUGCUUAUUCAAUGGGAAGCACCCUUCUUCAGUUGCAUCAGGAGAUAAAAGUCGUCCACAUUUCUGUAAUACAAGACACACAAGCUGAAUUGUGUUUAAGGACUUCCACUUGAUAUACCAAACUUGGCAACCAGCCUCAAUUGGCAUCACAAAACUUGAAGCUAUUGUAAUGAGUCUGGUUUUGACUUUUAAACAACCACUGAGAGACAAGCCUGGGUAGUUUCAAAUCAGUCCCGAGAGCAGACUACACUUUUUGAACAGAGUUCAAAAUUGUCCCUAAUUCUCAACGUUUAGAUUCCCAAAUCAUAGUUGGGACAGAUUAGGAAGUGGUUUACUCAAUAUAUGACUGUGGUAAAUGAUGUGGAAAUGCUUAAUUCUAGCAUUAGGUAUCAAAAGUGAGAAACAUUUCAUCCCUCAUUGAACACUGUUCCAAUACACAAGUAAAUGCACCAGUUAUAAAACUACCCCUUCAAGAGUGCUCCAAUCUAUUCAGCAUUCAGCAAAACAUUUCCAUACUCUGACAGUGUUGUUCCUCAUUUUGCUAUGAAGCGUGAUGCUAACACUAGGUUUUUAAUUUCAUUAACAAUUAAAAGAAACAUCACAUCAUUAAACAGUUCACACAAUUCUGCACAGAACACCUCAUCUGUUACAAUUCAUAAACACUUCACAGGUGUGUCCUCUGGAUAGCAGUUUGCUGUUAGUUGUGCAGUAUUUCAGACUUCACCUUCGUUUGUUAGUGUAAUAGUGUUACAUUUAGAAUAGCCGAUUUAAAGUGUACUGACAUCACUCUACAUAAAUGUCAAAGCCCAAAAAAACAAAACAAAUUGUAUUCAAUUCACUUAUUUUGUGCAAUCUACAAUUUUAGCUACAAUAUACAGAUGAGAUAAUUUAGAAGCAAGCCAUUUGCAUAAGAACAUGGAUUAAGCAUUUGGUGCUCAAAAUGCAUCAUAAUACUUUUAUCAACAGCAGAGUAUUUAACAUAUCUGAAAUUAUUCUGCACAGAUCUUUCUCCAUACUCAAGGUAGAUGCCUAUCAUUGGCUGGCAAGAAACUUGGGGCCAAGACGGCAGCUUCUAAUAUUAAGGUUAGGUUUAUAAGCAAUAUGCUUACAAAACAAAGAUUUUCAGGAUCUAUGAUAAUGGGAACUGCAGAUGCUGGAGAAUCCAAGAUAAUAAAGUGUGAGGCUGGA